AUUGAACGCUGGCGGCAGGCAUAACACAUGCAAGUCGAACGGUAACAGGGAUCAGCUUGCUGAUUCGCUGACGAGUGGCGGACGGGUGAGUAAUGUCUGGGAAACUGCCUGAUGGAGGGGGAUAACUACUGGAAACGGUAGCUAAUACCGCAUAACGUCGCAAGACCAAAGAGGGGGACCUUCGGGCCUCUUGCCAUCGGAUGUGCCCAGAUGGGAUUAGCUAGUAGGUGGGGUAACGGCUCACCUAGGCGACGAUCCCUAGCUGGUCUGAGAGGAUGACCAGCCACACUGGAACUGAGACACGGUCCAGACUCCUACGGGAGGCAGCAGUGGGGAAUAUUGCACAAUGGGCGCAAGCCUGAUGCAGCCAUGCCGCGUGUAUGAAGAAGGCCUUCGGGUUGUAAAGUACUUUCAGCGGGGAGGAAGGGAGUAAAGUUAAUACCUUUGCUCAUUGACGUUACCCGCAGAAGAAGCACCGGCUAACUCCGUG
This 490-nucleotide ribosomal RNA is filed under the name uncultured bacterium. RNAcentral's name for it is "partial 16S ribosomal RNA". It matches the Rfam family "Bacterial small subunit ribosomal RNA", at positions 30 to 507 of the family's 1533-position model. The record is from RNAcentral.